This 687-nucleotide small RNA is filed under the name Arabidopsis thaliana (thale cress). RNAcentral describes it as "ATSL243450". The record is from RNAcentral. Lineage: Eukaryota; Viridiplantae; Streptophyta; Magnoliopsida; Brassicales; Brassicaceae.
GAACCUUGAGAUCGCACUUGAUCUUGGGCUUGAACCUCCACGACUUGAUCAACCCAAACUUAAACCUAAUCUUAAGUCUCAGCUUGGCAUCGAUCCUAUAGAUCUGAGAAUUCACAUCCUCGUUCAAAUCCUUCCUCUCUCCGCCGUCAAGCAGCACCAAUUGCUGUCCCACGAGUUUAGUUCCAACCACCGUCGUGUUCUUAUGUCCCUGGUAAAACUUCGAGAUGUUGUUACUCAUACCGAAUCGCUGAUCACCGUAGUAUCCUCUGACUUCGAUUUCAUCAUAGUAAACACCGAUCCGGCGGUUAGGGUUACGGAUUGUGAAAUUGAGAUCGAGAUUGUAUCGGAGGUUGUUGGUUGGGUCGAGUGUGAAUUCGGUGAGUUUAGCGUCGGUGACGUGGAAUUUGAUAGCGUUGGGUCUGAAAAUGAGCCAGAUGAUUAGAGCAGCUAUGCCUAAUAAGACGGCUAUGGUUAUGAGGAUGUUGAAGAUGACGCUUAAGAUACAGCAGCCGCAGCAGCCAAGACAGUCACCUAAACAACCGCAUCCACCGCCGCGUCUGCCGUGGCUGUGAGAGACUUUCUUCGGCGGUGGAAUCGAUGGUCCGUAAUACGCACCGUUUAAGUCCGCCAUCUGUUCGUUAAAAUGCCUCAGAGAACGAUUUUGAAAGAAAGUUUUUUUUGGUUUGU